UGAUGGCAGCGUGGUAAGCCGACCGGGCGAAAAGCGCCCCGGCCGGCGUGCGAGGCCUCCGCUUCUGCGCGGGACCGACUUACUGCGAUGGGCGUCGCAGUUCAGAGUCUUGGAGACAGACGCGAGCGUGUCUGUUAGAGUGACAGCGCUGUUUUCAUUUCUGUUAGACAUUUACAGCACAUUUCCCAUUGAGAACUGCUUAUGCUGCGUCCUUAAGUUCUGAGAGACAGAGACAUAGCAUGAGCGGAGGAGGGGCAGAGAGAGGGGGAGACCCAGGAUCCGAAGCAGGCUCCAAGCUGUCAGCACAGAGCCCAACGCAGGGCUUGAACUCACGGACCGCGAGAUCAUGGCCUGAGCCAAAGGUGCAUGCUCAACCGAUUGAGCCACCUGGGUGCCCCUUAAUUUUUAUUGUAGUAAAAUAUAAGUAACAUGACAUAAAAGUUAACAUUUGAACCAUU
Neofelis nebulosa (Clouded leopard) is the source of this 458-nucleotide long non-coding RNA. RefSeq lists it as uncharacterized. The transcript has 3 exons. Lineage: Eukaryota; Metazoa; Chordata; Mammalia; Carnivora; Felidae. The record is from RefSeq and is a predicted model, not a curated record.